RNAcentral lists this unclassified non-coding RNA (231 nucleotides) under plant metagenome. RNAcentral's name for it is "partial contains small subunit ribosomal RNA, internal transcribed spacer 1, and 5.8S ribosomal RNA". The record is from RNAcentral.
UCUCCGUUGGUGAACCAGCGGAGGGAUCAUUACAGAGUUGCAAAACUCCCAAACCAUUGUGAACGUUACCUAUCCCGUUGCUUCGGCGGGCGGCCCGGGCCCCGCGCCCGGCGCCCCCCGGCCCCCCGUGGGCGCCCGCCGGAGGUAUACCAAACCCUUGAAUUGCAUGGCCUCUCUGAGUCUUCUGUACUGAAUAAGUCAAGACUUUCAACAACGGAUCUCUUGGUUCUG